CCAAAGGUUUUUUCUAACUAUGUCUAUGAAUUGAUGUAUGAAAAAAAAGUUAUUUGUUAACUUGAAGGCUUCUGUAAAAAGAGUCUUUAAAAACAACUCUUGGCAAUGGAUCUCUUGGUUCUCGCAUCGAUGAAGAGCGUAGCAAAGUGCGAUAAUUAUUGCGACUUGCAUUCAUAGUGAAUCAUCGAGUUCUUGAACGCAUCUUGCGCCUAGUAGUCAAUCUACUAGGCACAGUUGUUUCAGUAUCUGCAUCCACCAAUCAACUUAACCUUUUGUGUUGAGUUGGAACUGGGCUUCUAGUUGAUGGCAUUUAGUUGCUGUCAUGGCCUUAAAUCAAUGUCCUAGGUGUUAGAACAUCUAACACCGGAUGGAAACUUUAGAGCGCUUUAAGAGCAGCUUGGUUAGUGAGUUCAAUAAUUCCAAGCAUUAAGUCUUUUAAUGAACUAGCUUUUCUAUCUAUGGGACACUACUUGGAGAAAUCCAAGUAACC
RNAcentral lists this ribosomal RNA (490 nucleotides) under Lichtheimia corymbifera. RNAcentral describes it as "eukaryotic LSU rRNA". The stretch from base 95 to 248 matches the Rfam family "5.8S ribosomal RNA". Lineage: Eukaryota; Fungi; Mucoromycota; Mucoromycetes; Mucorales; Lichtheimiaceae. The record is from RNAcentral.